Long non-coding RNA from Oncorhynchus keta (chum salmon), 829 nucleotides. RefSeq lists it as uncharacterized. Lineage: Eukaryota; Metazoa; Chordata; Actinopteri; Salmoniformes; Salmonidae. The record is from RefSeq and is a predicted model, not a curated record. The transcript has 4 exons.
CAGGAAUGGCAGACCAAGGAGCUGCUCUCACUUAUGACUCCACUGUCUGAUGAAGAAACAAAGCCGCUUGAUGACAAUGGAUCCUCCUCAAGAGGUCAAAGGGCAGACAAACCUCUCAGGCAGUAACAUCCCAGUCUGCUUCAGUGGCCCAGAAAUCAGGAGCAAACCCACACUCAGAGAUGGAUAGUGAUGAUUCGCUCACCCCCUGCCAUGUCAGCUGACCAGGAAUGAGGCAAGCCGCCUCGUUACCCCCGAGACUGUCUGGAGGCAUUCCUCUCCUCUGAGGACCCAGCGAGGGUGGAGCACAGUGAGACACUUCUACAGCCAGAGAGUCAAGAAAUGGAACAGCAAGGCCACAGAACAUGACAUACGCAGAGCUGUGGGAGACCACCUGAAGCAUUCCCCUGGUAGAGCCAGAGGAUGGGGUUUACCACACCAACACCAAACGUCUUCAACAGGCAUGAAAAGUGGGAUUGAUCUGUUUGAUCCAUUUUAUUUGUUUGAGUUUUCAUUAGUUGAAUCCUUUGACUUAUUGUUGAUUUAAAAUUAAAAUAAAAUACAAAAACGCACUGGAUUGGUUCAAAUGUGAUACUAAACUUACAUUAUUUUGACACAGAGGAAGAUAUACUGAAUUUAUACUGUUUUUGAUUAUAUGAUGGACCAAAAUAUAUGUUACUUUAGCACAUGUUUGUUCAUUAAUUUUGCAAGAAUGUUGAUUGGUCGGUCAUUGGGUUCAUUAGUUUAGCAACAUAUUGAUGCCAUUGAUUAAAAGAGAAAGAAUAUGAUGUAAUAUUCAACGCUUGUAUUAGUCCAUUGUUUGUAAAAAAUA